UUUAUCGCAUAACUCCGAGCUUGUUUGUCUAAGUUCUUUUACGAAUAUGACGGCAACGCCAAUAACGAUGUAUGUUAUUCAGGGAUACGUUGGAAACGGCUUAUCCUCUCCAUUUAGAAAGGUGUCUAAUGCAAUUUCAA
Molecule: non-coding RNA, 140 nt
Filed under: Rodentibacter myodis
Lineage: Bacteria; Pseudomonadati; Pseudomonadota; Gammaproteobacteria; Pasteurellales; Pasteurellaceae
Description: MoCo sequence
Rfam family: Molybdenum/Tungsten riboswitch aptamer (Moco RNA motif)
Source: RNAcentral